Cheilinus undulatus (humphead wrasse) is the source of this 75-nucleotide small nucleolar RNA. RefSeq annotates it as small nucleolar RNA SNORD66. Lineage: Eukaryota; Metazoa; Chordata; Actinopteri; Labriformes; Labridae. The record is from RefSeq and is a predicted model, not a curated record. The transcript has a single exon.
CUCCAGUGAUGACCUUAUAUUAGUGCCACGUGUCUGGGCCACUGAUUAAAAUGAUGGUAUUGAGGAACUGAGGAG